Molecule: ribosomal RNA, 705 nt
Filed under: uncultured crenarchaeote
Lineage: Archaea; Thermoproteati; Thermoproteota
Description: bacterial SSU rRNA
Rfam family: Archaeal small subunit ribosomal RNA
Source: RNAcentral
ACCUGACUGCUAUCGGGUUGGGACUAAGACAUGUUAGUCGAGCGACUCUAAGCCCGGUAGAGACGCGGCAUACGGCUCAGUAACACGUGGCUAACCUACCUUCAGGACGGAGACAACCCCGGGAAACUGGGGCUAAUCCCCGAUAGGUGAAGACGCCUGGAAUGACUCUUCACUCAAAGGGUGUUGAGAGCAUGCUUUUCAACGUCGCCUGAAGAUGGGGCCGCGACCGAUCAGGCCGUUGGCGAGGUAAAGGCUCACCAAACCAAUAACCGGUACGGGCCGUGAGAGCGGGAGCCCGGAGAUGGGCACUGAGACAAGGGCCCAGGCCCUACGGGGCGCAGCAGUCGCGAAAACUCCGCAAUGCACGAAAGUGUGACGGGGCUACCCCGAGUGCCGUCCGCUGAGGAUGGCUUUUCCUUGGUAUAACUAGCCGGGGGAAUAAGGAGAGGGCAAGACUGGUGUCAGCCGCCGCGGUAAUACCAGCUCUCCGAGUGGUAGGGAUGAUUAUUGGGCUUAAAGCGUCCGUAGCCGGCUUAGCAAGUUUCCUGUUAAAUUCAGCGACCUAAUCGUUGAGCCGCGGGAAAUACUACUAGGCUAGGAGGCGGGAGAGGUCGACGGUACUUCUGGGGUAGGGGUGAAAUCCUAUAAUCCCCGGAGGACCACCAGUGGCGAAGGCUGUCGACUAGAACGCGCUCGACGGUGAGG